CGAACCCUAGCCGUCGCUUGUCAUUCCUACAAUUUUUCUUAACUAUACUUUAUUGAUAACUGCAGAAAGGGCAAUUCAAGCAGUUCAAAUAUAGCUUUGCACAAGAGGUAAAUGUUCUAGAUUUGUCUGCCAUUUUUUUCUUUAUUGUUUGUCUUGUGGUGUAAAGUUCUGCUAUUGUCCCCAACUAGUUUGAUGAAUAACUGGA
This 205-nucleotide long non-coding RNA is filed under the name Elaeis guineensis (African oil palm). Its description in RNAcentral is "long non-coding RNA (EGUI_LNC062878)". Lineage: Eukaryota; Viridiplantae; Streptophyta; Magnoliopsida; Arecales; Arecaceae. The record is from RNAcentral.